GUUUGGUACUUUGGUGUAUUGCUGUCAUUUUUAUGGAUUUUAUAAAUAGGUAAAAAAAUCUAGAAUUUUAAGUUUAGGCUGAAUCUAGAUAGUCAUCUUUAAUGUUUUUAUAAACUUUUUUAAAUCAACCUGGACUUUCAUAAAACUAUACAGCCUUUUCAUUUAUAUAUUGAACUUACAGAAUGCCACGUUGAUUGGUAGUUUGGUGUAUGUCUGUCAUU
RNAcentral lists this long non-coding RNA (221 nucleotides) under Mytilus galloprovincialis (Mediterranean mussel). The record is from RNAcentral. Lineage: Eukaryota; Metazoa; Mollusca; Bivalvia; Mytilida; Mytilidae.